This 433-nucleotide ribosomal RNA is filed under the name uncultured bacterium. Its description in RNAcentral is "partial 16S ribosomal RNA". It matches the Rfam family "Bacterial small subunit ribosomal RNA", at positions 29 to 507 of the family's 1533-position model. The record is from RNAcentral.
AACGAACGCUGGCGGCAUGCCUAACACAUGCAAGUCGAACGAGCCCUUCGGGUCUAGUGGCGCACGGGUGCGUAACGCGUGGGAACCUGCCCUUAGGUUCGGAAUAACUCCCCGAAAGGGGUGCUAAUACCGGAUAAUGUCUUCGGACCAAAGAUUUAUCGCCUUUGGAUGGGCCCGCGUUGGAUUAGCUAGUUGGUAGGGUAAAAGCCUACCAAGGCGACGAUCCAUAGCUGGUCUGAGAGGAUGAUCAGCCACACUGGGACUGAGACACGGCCCAGACUCCUACGGGAGGCAGCAGUGGGGAAUAUUGGACAAUGGGCGAAAGCCUGAUCCAGCAAUGCCGCGUGAGUGAUGAAGGCCUUAGGGUUGUAAAGCGCUUUUACCCGGGAUGAUAAUGACAGUACCGGGAGAAUAAGCUCCGGCUAACUCCGUG